Erinaceus europaeus (western European hedgehog) is the source of this 210-nucleotide non-coding RNA. The record is from Rfam. Lineage: Eukaryota; Metazoa; Chordata; Mammalia; Eulipotyphla; Erinaceidae.
AACACUAUACUUCCAGGUAUCAUUCCUACAGGUCAUUACUAGAGAAGUUCCUCUGAGCAUAUAGAGCACCUGAAACUAUGAGGAGCCACAACAUUUUCUCCUGAGCAUGAAGCUGGAUUUAGCUGUUGCUUUUGUAACUGCCUUUUGCCACUGGUGAUCAUUCUUGUCUUCUUUUGGGAGAGGAGAGGGAGAGGACACAGUCUGGGUAAU